AACGUAGGUGGCGAGCGUUAUCCGGAUUUACUGGGCGUAAAGCGUGUGCAGGCGGGGGUUCAAGUGGGGUGUGAAAUUUCCCGGCUUAACCGGGAAGGGUUAUGCCAGACUGUAUUUCUGGAGUGCGAGAGAGGGGCGUGGAAUUCCGGGUGUAGUGGUGAAAUGCGUAGAGAUCCGGAGGAACCCCAGAGGCGAAGGCAAUCCCCUGGGCCUGCACUGACGCUCCUGCACGAAAGCGUGGGGAGCAAACAGG
This 253-nucleotide ribosomal RNA is filed under the name uncultured bacterium. RNAcentral's name for it is "partial 16S ribosomal RNA". It matches the Rfam family "Bacterial small subunit ribosomal RNA", at positions 524 to 776 of the family's 1533-position model. The record is from RNAcentral.